Molecule: ribosomal RNA, 526 nt
Filed under: Semisulcospira nakasekoae
Lineage: Eukaryota; Metazoa; Mollusca; Gastropoda; Semisulcospiridae
Description: partial 16S ribosomal RNA
Rfam family: Bacterial large subunit ribosomal RNA
Source: RNAcentral
AAAAACAUGGCUCUUUGGUUGUAUAAAUAUAAGGAGUCGAGCCUGCCCGGUGAAAAUUUUUAACGGCCGCGGUACUCUGACCGUGCAAAGGUAGCAUAAUCAUUUGCCUUAUAAUUGAAGGCUGGUAUGAAUGGUUUGACGAGAACAACACUGUCUCCCUUUUAUUUUCAAGAAUUUAACUUUUAGGUGAAGAGGCCUAAAUUUUAUUGAAGGACAAGAAGACCCUGUCGAGCUUAAAAGAUAGCAUAGAGUCUUAUAUACUUUUAAAUGAAUUUUUCUAUUAAAGCUUUUUAGUUGGGGCGACUAAGGAACAAAAAAAGCUUCUUGUUAUUAGUAGACAGUCAUGUUUAGAUCCAGUAAUAACCGAUCAGAGAAAUUAGUUACCGCAGGGAUAACAGCAUAAUCUCUCUUGAGAGAUCUAAUCGAAAGAGGGGGUUGUGACCUCGAUGUUGGACUAGAAUAUCCUAAAGAUGCAGAAGUCUUUAAGGGUCGGUCUGUUCGACCGUUAAAAUUCUACGUGAUCUGA